RNAcentral lists this ribosomal RNA (2925 nucleotides) under Escherichia coli. RNAcentral describes it as "23S ribosomal RNA". It matches the Rfam family "Bacterial large subunit ribosomal RNA". Lineage: Bacteria; Pseudomonadati; Pseudomonadota; Gammaproteobacteria; Enterobacterales; Enterobacteriaceae. The record is from RNAcentral.
GGGUUGUGAGGUUAAGCGACUAAGCGUACACGGUGGAUGCCCUGGCAGUCAGAGGCGAUGAAGGACGUGCUAAUCUGCGAUAAGCGUCGGUGAGGUGAUAUGAACCGUUAUAACCGGCGAUUUCCGAAUGGGGAAACCCAGUGUGAUUCGUCACACUAUCAUUAACUGAAUCCAUAGGUUAAUGAGGCGAACCGGGGGAACUGAAACAUCUAAGUACCCCGAGGAAAAGAAAUCAACCGAGAUUCCCCCAGUAGCGGCGAGCGAACGGGGAGGAGCCCAGAGCCUGAAUCAGUGUGUGUGUUAGUGGAAGCGUCUGGAAAGGCGUGCGAUACAGGGUGACAGCCCCGUACACAAAAAUGCACAUAUUGUGAGCUCGAUGAGUAGGGCGGGACACGUGGUAUCCUGUCUGAAUAUGGGGGGACCAUCCUCCAAGGCUAAAUACUCCUGACUGACCGAUAGUGAACCAGUACCGUGAGGGAAAGGCGAAAAGAACCCCGGCGAGGGGAGUGAAAAAGAACCUGAAACCGUGUACGUACAAGCAGUGGGAGCCUCUUAAUGGGGUGACUGCGUACCUUUUGUAUAAUGGGUCAGCGACUUAUAUUCUGUAGCAAGGUUAACCGAAUAGGGGAGCCGAAGGGAAACCGAGUCUUAACUGGGCGUUAAGUUGCAGGGUAUAGACCCGAAACCCGGUGAUCUAGCCAUGGGCAGGUUGAAGGUUGGGUAACACUAACUGGAGGACCGAACCGACUAAUGUUGAAAAAUUAGCGGAUGACUUGUGGCUGGGGGUGAAAGGCCAAUCAAACCGGGAGAUAGCUGGUUCUCCCCGAAAGCUAUUUAGGUAGCGCCUCGUGAAUUCAUCUCCGGGGGUAGAGCACUGUUUCGGCAAGGGGGUCAUCCCGACUUACCAACCCGAUGCAAACUGCGAAUACCGGAGAAUGUUAUCACGGGAGACACACGGCGGGUGCUAACGUCCGUCGUGAAGAGGGAAACAACCCAGACCGCCAGCUAAGGUCCCAAAGUCAUGGUUAAGUGGGAAACGAUGUGGGAAGGCCCAGACAGCCAGGAUGUUGGCUUAGAAGCAGCCAUCAUUUAAAGAAAGCGUAAUAGCUCACUGGUCGAGUCGGCCUGCGCGGAAGAUGUAACGGGGCUAAACCAUGCACCGAAGCUGCGGCAGCGACACUAUGUGUUGUUGGGUAGGGGAGCGUUCUGUAAGCCUGUGAAGGUGGCCUGUGAGGGUUGCUGGAGGUAUCAGAAGUGCGAAUGCUGACAUAAGUAACGAUAAAGCGGGUGAAAARCCCGCUCGCCGGAAGACCAAGGGUUCCUGUCCAACGUUAAUCGGGGCAGGGUGAGUCGACCCCUAAGGCGAGGCCGAAAGGCGUAGUCGAUGGGAAACAGGUUAAUAUUCCUGUACUUGGUGUUACUGCGAAGGGGGGACGGAGAAGGCUAUGUUGGCCGGGCGACGGUUGUCCCGGUUUAAGCGUGUAGGCUGGUUUUCCAGGCAAAUCCGGAAAAUCAAGGCUGAGGCGUGAUGACGAGGCACUACGGUGCUGAAGCGACAAAUGCCCUGCUUCCAGGAAAAGCCUCUAAGCAUCAGGUAACAUCAAAUCGUACCCCAAACCGACACAGGUGGUCAGGUAGAGAAUACCAAGGCGCUUGAGAGAACUCGGGUGAAGGAACUAGGCAAAAUGGUGCCGUAACUUCGGGAGAAGGCACGCUGAUAUGUAGGUGAAGCGACUUGCUCGUGGAGCUGAAAUCAGUCGAAGAUACCAGCUGGCUGCAACUGUUUAUUAAAAACACAGCACUGUGCAAACACGAAAGUGGACGUAUACGGUGUGACGCCUGCCCGGUGCCGGAAGGUUAAUUGAUGGGGUUAGCGGUAACGCGAAGCUCUUGAUCGAAGCCCCGGUAAACGGCGGCCGUAACUAUAACGGUCCUAAGGUAGCGAAAUUCCUUGUCGGGUAAGUUCCGACCUGCACGAAUGGCGUAAUGAUGGCCAGGCUGUCUCCACCCGAGACUCAGUGAAAUUGAACUCGCUGUGAAGAUGCAGUGUACCCGCGGCAAGACGGAAAGACCCCGUGAACCUUUACUAUAGCUUGACACUGAACAUUGAGCCUUGAUGUGUAGGAUAGGUGGGAGGCUUUGAAGUGUGGACGCCAGUCUGCAUGGAGCCGACCUUGAAAUACCACCCUUUAAUGUUUGAUGUUCUAACGUGGGCCCCUUACCGGGGUUGCGGACAGUGUCUGGUGGGUAGUUUGACUGGGGCGGUCUCCUCCUAAAGAGUAACGGAGGAGCACGAAGGUUGGCUAAUCCUGGUCGGACAUCAGGAGGUUAGUGCAAUGGCAUAAGCCAGCUUGACUGCGAGCGUGACGGCGCGAGCAGGUGCGAAAGCAGGUCAUAGUGAUCCGGUGGUUCUGAAUGGAAGGGCCAUCGCUCAACGGAUAAAAGGUACUCCGGGGAUAACAGGCUGAUACCGCCCAAGAGUUCAUAUCGACGGCGGUGUUUGGCACCUCGAUGUCGGCUCAUCACAUCCUGGGGCUGAAGUAGGUCCCAAGGGUAUGGCUGUUCGCCAUUUAAAGUGGUACGCGAGCUGGGUUUAGAACGUCGUGAGACAGUUCGGUCCCUAUCUGCCGUGGGCGCUGGAGAACUGAGGGGGGCUGCUCCUAGUACGAGAGGACCGGAGUGGACGCAUCACUGGUGUUCGGGUUGUCAUGCCAAUGGCACUGCCCGGUAGCUAAAUGCGGAAGAGAUAAGUGCUGAAAGCAUCUAAGCACGAAACUUGCCCCGAGAUGAGUUCUCCCUGACUCCUUGAGAGUCCUGAAGGAACGUUGAAGACGACGACGUUGAUAGGCCGGGUGUGUAAGCGCAGCGAUGCGUUGAGCUAACCGGUACUAAUGAACCGUGAGGCUUAACCUUACAACGCCGAAG